GACAGAGGGUGCAAACGUUGUUCGGAAUUACUGGGCGUAAAGCGUGUGUAGGCGGUCACGUAAGUCGGAUGUGAAAGCCCUGGGCUCAACCCAGGAAGUGCACUCGAUACUGCGUGGCUUGAGUACUGGAGAGGUUGGUGGAAUUCUCGGUGUAGAGGUGAAAUGCGCAGAUAUCGGGAGGAACACCAAUGGCGAAGGCAGCUCGCUGGGACGGUACUGACGCUGAGACGCGAAAGCGUGGGGAGCAAACAGG
RNAcentral lists this ribosomal RNA (253 nucleotides) under uncultured bacterium. RNAcentral's name for it is "partial 16S ribosomal RNA". It matches the Rfam family "Bacterial small subunit ribosomal RNA", at positions 524 to 776 of the family's 1533-position model. The record is from RNAcentral.